Molecule: non-coding RNA, 71 nt
Organism: Gongronella butleri
Lineage: Eukaryota; Fungi; Mucoromycota; Mucoromycetes; Mucorales; Cunninghamellaceae
Source: the annotation of a GenBank genome assembly
GCCGGAGUAGUGUAGUGGCAUCACACCACGUUGUGGCCGUGUUAACCUGAGUUCGAUUCUCAGCUCCGGCA